Long non-coding RNA from Hydra vulgaris (swiftwater hydra), 1019 nucleotides. RefSeq lists it as uncharacterized. The record is from RefSeq and is a predicted model, not a curated record. Lineage: Eukaryota; Metazoa; Cnidaria; Hydrozoa; Anthoathecata; Hydridae.
UUAAACGGUAUUAGUCUCUUUAAAAAAUCAAUACCUUUUUUGCUAUGAGAGAAAAUACACUUUGUUUUUUCUAUAUAUAAAGCUAUAAGGACCCUUGUACUCUUACCAUAAUACCAAAAAUUACUUAAAGAGGAAACAUUUUUCAAAUAUUUUUCUGCCGGUUUAAUUAAAGCUUUUUUUUCUCUUGCAAAAACUCGUUGACGGCGACAGUCGGAUAAUUGGAGUUAAUUUUUAUAAGUUUUUCAAAAGUAAAAUGAUCGGCUGUUAAGAACUUUAAUUUAGUUUACACAAGUAAACCCAAACACCGCGAGUCUUUGAGUGUCUAGUGGUGCGCUAAAUCUUAUGUUUACAAUGUAACACAACGCUGUCUUUAAAAUUCUAGCGCGCACUUUGUGACGGAACAGUAAAAAACGAGAAGACAUUCCUGAUGCAAAGAAAGUAAACGAUUAAAAAAAAAAAAAGUAAAGUUAGCAAAUAAUCUUCAAAUGAGUUUUAAAUUUAGAACGAGUGGCACAAUUAAAGCUUAAAUACUUUUAGUGAAGAGAUUACUGAAGAGUAAGACGUAAUACGAAUAAGACUUAAUACAAUAAUUAAAAAGAACAUUACAUAAAAGCGAUAAUUAUGAUAAUGGAUGCAAAAAAAAUGAUGGUGGUCUUUUUUGUAUCUUUGCUAGUGUUUUCGGAAUUAUAUACUUUAUUAGCAGCAGUUCCAUCAAAGUGUAAAGGAGUUCGCUGGCGAAAAUGCUAUUCUAAAAAGAAUUCUGAAGAAACAAAGGUAGAAAUAAAAAACAAAAGGCGCAGUGUUGAUACAAUUUUAUCAGAUAUCGAGUCAAUGAACGAAAAUUGGGACGAUGAGAGUAACUCAACGAGUUAAAAUUUUCUUUAAAAGUAGUUCACAAAUAUUUUAAUUUUUAUUGUAAAUAAAACUUAUUUAAAUUAUUAACUGAAAGACUUUAUAGUAUUUUUUUUUAAUUUGUUUUUAAAUUAUACUGGAGGUUAAAUAUUUACGGUUGUCAGCAA